CUUACUAUAUAAACAAUGUUUAUAUAUAAUUUCAUAUACCUAACAUCAAAUUAACUUCAAAUAUCCUCUAGUUCUUCUUAUCUUUAGCAAAGGGCCAAAAAUUACAAGUAUACACAAAUUAUGAGGUUCAUUGUGGUAAUUGUUUUAGUCAUGUUGGUCAUGACAACAACUUCUAGCAUUGCUAGGGACCUAAUAGACAAUAACAAAGACGAUAAUAAUGAUUUAUGGCAUGAAGGAAGUAGAAAUGUGAAUAAUCACCAUUAUAUACCUCGACAAGACUUCAAUAGUGGUGAUGGGGGUCCUGUUCCUAAAGCUGAAGGAUCAAGGACAUGAUCAUAUACAGACUAAAUUCUGCAGAACUCGUAACUAUAUCAAGAAUACAGACUGAAUUUUGCAAAACUACUCGUAACUAUAUCGAGAAUACAGAGUGAACUCUGCAGAACUCGUAACUAUAUCGAUCAAGAUCUUGGAUGAAGUUGAAGUUAGAUAUAUGAUUAUGUAUCUAUAUGCUUGCAUGGUACUUAAUUAUUAUAUGUAUUUUAAUUAUGUGGUACGUAAUAGAUAGAAAUAUGAUAAUAUAGUAAAGCUUCAUGGUUGUACGUAGUAAUUAAAUAUGUUUUUUUUUUCUAAUGUUGCAUGCAAUGGUAAGUGUUGUGUAAUUUGUAAGUUAAAGAUUUGUAUAUAAAUAAACAACGUAGUAGUAAAAA
Capsicum annuum is the source of this 707-nucleotide long non-coding RNA. RefSeq lists it as uncharacterized. NCBI's taxonomy places the organism in Eukaryota, Viridiplantae, Streptophyta, Magnoliopsida, Solanales, Solanaceae. The transcript is spliced from 2 exons. The record is from RefSeq and is a predicted model, not a curated record.